UACGUAGGGGGCAAGCGUUGUCCGGAUUUAUUGGGCGUAAAGAGCGUGUAGGCGGCCAAGCAGGUCAGCUGUGAAAACUCGAGGCUCAACCUCGAGACGUCGGUUGAAACCGCUUGGCCAGAGUCCGGAAGAGGAGAGUGGAAUUCCCGGUGUAGCGGUGAAAUGCGCAGAUAUCGGGAAGAACACCUAUGGCGAAGGCAGCUCUCUGGGACGGUACUGACGCUGAGACGCGAAAGCGUGGGGAGCGAACAGG
This 253-nucleotide ribosomal RNA is filed under the name uncultured bacterium. Its description in RNAcentral is "partial 16S ribosomal RNA". It matches the Rfam family "Bacterial small subunit ribosomal RNA", at positions 524 to 776 of the family's 1533-position model. The record is from RNAcentral.